This 520-nucleotide ribosomal RNA is filed under the name uncultured Glomus. RNAcentral describes it as "SSU rRNA". It matches the Rfam family "Eukaryotic small subunit ribosomal RNA", at positions 569 to 1089 of the family's 1831-position model. The record is from RNAcentral. Lineage: Eukaryota; Fungi; Glomeromycota; Glomeromycetes; Glomerales; Glomeraceae.
AGCAGCCGCGGUAAUUCCAGCUCCAAUAGCGUAUAUUAAAGUUGCUGCAGUUAAAAAGCUCGUAGUUGAAUUUCGGGACCGAUAUAUCGGUCGUGCCUCGGUACGUACUGGUAUUUUCGGUUUCUACCUUCUGACGAACCUUGAUGUCAUUAAUUUGGUGUCUUGGGGAAUCAGGACUGUUACUUUAGAAAAAAUUAGAGUGUUUAAAGCAGGCUCACGCUUGAAUACAUUAGCAUGGAAUAAUGAAAUAGGACGUUUGAUUCUAUUUUGUUGGUUUCUAGGAUCGACGUAAUGAUUAAUAGGGAUAGUUGGGGGCAUUAGUAUUCAAUUGUCAGAGGUGAAAUUCUUGGAUUUAUUGAAGACUAACUACUGCGAAAGCAUUUGCCAAGGAUGUUUUCAUUAAUCAAGAACGAAAGUUAGGGGAUCGAAGACGAUCAGAUACCGUCGUAGUCUUAACCAUAAACUAUGCCGACUAGGGAUCGGAUGAUGUUAAUUUUUUUAAUGACUCAUUCGGCGCCUU